GUGGGGAAUUUUGCGCAAUGGGGGAAACCCUGACGCAGCAACGCCGCGUGGAGGAUGAAGUCCCUUGGGACGUAAACUCCUUUCGAUCGGGACGAUAAUGACGGUACCGGAAGAAGAAGCCCCGGCUAACUUCGUGCCAGCAGCCGCGGUAAUACGAGGGGGGCAAGCGUUGUUCGGAAUUAUUGGGCGUAAAGGGCGCGUAGGCGGUGCGGUAAGAGUGUUGUGAAAUCUUCGGGCUCAACUCGAAGUCUGCAACGCUGACUGCCGUGCUUGAGUGUGGGAGAGGUGAGUGGAAUUCCUGGUGUAGCGGUGAAAUGCGUAGAUAUCAGGAGGAACACCUGUGGCGAAAGCGGCUCACUGGACCACAACUGACGCUGAUGCGCGAAAGCUAGGGGAGCAAACAGGAUUAGAUACCCUUGUAGUCC
RNAcentral lists this ribosomal RNA (425 nucleotides) under uncultured bacterium. RNAcentral's name for it is "bacterial SSU rRNA". It matches the Rfam family "Bacterial small subunit ribosomal RNA", at positions 354 to 796 of the family's 1533-position model. The record is from RNAcentral.